RNAcentral lists this ribosomal RNA (569 nucleotides) under uncultured bacterium. RNAcentral's name for it is "partial 16S ribosomal RNA". It matches the Rfam family "Bacterial small subunit ribosomal RNA", at positions 355 to 1375 of the family's 1533-position model. The record is from RNAcentral.
UGGGGAAUAUUGCACAAUGGGCGCAAGCCUGAUGCAGCAACGCCGCGUGAGGGACGACGGCCUUCGGGUUGUAAACCUCUUUUAGUAGGGAAGAAGCGAAAGUGACGGUACCUGCAGAAAAAGCACCGGCUAACUACGUGCCAGCAGCCGCGGUAAUACGUAGGGUGCGAGCGUUGUCCGGAAUUAUUGGGCGUAAAGAGCUCGUAGGCGGUCUGUCGCGUCUGCUGUGAAAACCCGAGGCUCAACCUCGGGCCUGCAGUGGGUACGGGCAGACUAGAGUGCGGUAGGGGAGAAUGGAAUUCCUGGUGUAGCGGUGGAAUGCGCAGAUAUCAGGAGGAACACCGAUGGCGAAGGCAGUUCUCUGGGCCGUAACUGACGCUGAGGAGCGAAAGCGUGGGGAGCGAACAGGAUUAGAUACCCUGGUAGUCCACGCCGUAAACGUUGGGCGCUAGAUGUGGGGACCAUUCCACGGUUUCCGUGUCGCAGCUAACGCAUUAAGCGCCCCGCCUGGGGAGUACGGCCGCAAGGCUAAAACUUGAAAGGAAUUGACGGGGUCAUAGCUGUUUCCU